Molecule: unclassified non-coding RNA, 350 nt
Filed under: Lactarius scoticus
Lineage: Eukaryota; Fungi; Basidiomycota; Agaricomycetes; Russulales; Russulaceae
Description: sequence contains 5.8S rRNA gene
Source: RNAcentral
GAACGCACCUUGCGCCCCUUGGUAUUCCGAGGGGCACACCCGUUUGAGUGUCGUGAAAAUCUCAACCUUCUCGGUUUCUUCUGGAAACCAAAGGAGGCUUGGACUUUGGAGGCCUUUGCUGGCGUCUCUCUCUUUUGAGAGCCCAGCUCCUCUUAAAUGAAUUAGCGGGGUCCUCUUUGCUGGUCCUCGACAUGUGAUAAGAUGUUUCCAUGUCUUGGUUUCUGGCUCUGUUGCUUUUGGGACCCGCUUCUAACCGUCUCGACGAGACAACGUUUGAGCACGUCUCCCGACGCUCUCAACCUCACGAACCCUUGACCUCAAAUCGGGUGAGACUACCCGUUGAACUUAAG